CCUACGGGAGGCUGCAGUGAGGAAUAUUGGUCAAUGGACGAGAGUCUGAACCAGCCAAGUAGCGUGAAGGAUGACUGCCCUAUGGGUUGUAAACUUCUUUUAUAUGGGAAUAAAAUGUUCCACGUGUGGGAUUUUGUAUGUACCAUAUGAAUAAGGAUCGGCUAACUCCGUGCCAGCAGCCGCGGUAAUACGGAGGAUCCGAGCGUUAUCCGGAUUUAUUGGGUUUAAAGGGAGCGUAGGUGGAUUGUUAAGUCAGUUGUGAAAGUUUGCGGCUCAACCGUAAAAUUGCAGUUGAAACUGGCAGUCGUGAGUACAGUAGAGGUGUGCGGAAUUCGUGGUGUAGCGGUGAAAUGCUUAGAUAUCACGAAGAACUCCGAUUGCGAAGGCAGCUCACUGGACUGCAACUGACACUGAGGCUCGAAAGUGUGGGUAUCAAACAGGAUUAGAUACCCCAGUAGUC
This 460-nucleotide ribosomal RNA is filed under the name uncultured bacterium. RNAcentral describes it as "partial 16S ribosomal RNA". It matches the Rfam family "Bacterial small subunit ribosomal RNA", at positions 338 to 795 of the family's 1533-position model. The record is from RNAcentral.